This is an unclassified non-coding RNA of Cavia porcellus (domestic guinea pig), 291 nucleotides long. Its record names the gene 7SK. It matches the Rfam family "7SK RNA". From Rfam's summary of the family: 7SK was discovered as an abundant small nuclear RNA in the mid-70s but a possible function has only recently been suggested. Two independent studies have found that 7SK RNA binds the CDK9/cyclin T complex (known as elongation factor P-TEFb). NCBI's taxonomy places the organism in Eukaryota, Metazoa, Chordata, Mammalia, Rodentia, Caviidae. The record is from Ensembl.
GGAUUCAAGGGUGAUCUGGCUGUGACAUUUGUCACCCCAUUGAUGGCCAGGAUUGAUAUUGCUGGCAUCCCUUUCCUCCCUCAACACUUUGUGUGUCCCUCCCAAAGCUGGGUGUUUGUUCUGAGGACAACUACCCUCAUAGAGAAGGACCAUUUCCUAGGUCGAUGGGAUUUUUGCUACAACCUCCAAAUAAGCACUCAAGGCCAGCCUACACUAUAUAGGGAGACUAUCUCAAAAAAAAAAAAAAAAAAAAAAAAAAUCACCUGAGGGUGUAGCUCAGUGACAGUGUUU